Molecule: ribosomal RNA, 331 nt
Filed under: uncultured bacterium
Lineage: Bacteria
Description: bacterial SSU rRNA
Rfam family: Bacterial small subunit ribosomal RNA
Source: RNAcentral
CGCGUAGGCGGUAAUGUAAGUCAGACGUGAAAUCCUUCGGCUUAACUGAAGAACUGCGUCUGAAACUGCAUGACUAGAGUGCAGAAGAGGGAAACGGAAUUCCAGGUGUAGAGGUGAAAUUCGUAGAUAUCUGGAGGAACACCGGUGGCGAAGGCGGUUUCCUGGUCUGACACUGACGCUGAGGCGCGAAAGCGUGGGGAGCAAACAGGAUUAGAUACCCUGGUAGUCCACGCCGUAAACGGUGGGUACUGGGUGUGGGAGGUGUAAUGCCUUCUGUGCCGAAGCUAACGCGUUAAGUACCCCGCCUGGGGAGUACGGCCGCAAGGUUGAA